This 69-nucleotide transfer RNA is filed under the name Caudoviricetes sp. RNAcentral describes it as "tRNA-Asn". It matches the Rfam family "tRNA". From Rfam's summary of the family: Transfer RNA (tRNA) molecules are approximately 80 nucleotides in length. Lineage: Duplodnaviria; Heunggongvirae; Uroviricota; Caudoviricetes. The record is from RNAcentral.
UAGCUCAGUUGGUAGAGCGCCUGACUGUUAAUCAGGAGGUCAUCGGUUCGAAGCCGGUCACGUCAGUAA